ACGAUUCGAGGUAUUGAAAUAAGGUUUUAAUUGAAUGCUAAGAGAAUGGAUAAAUGAUUAAAAGCUUUAUUAUUUUAAAAAUUAAAAAUUAAAUUAUUAGUGAAGAUGCUAAUAUAAUAUUAUGGGACAAGAAGACCCUAUGAAUCUUUAUAAAAAUUUGAUUGGGGCGAUAGAAAAAGAUUAAGAAUCUUUAUUUUGAUCCAAUAUAUUGAUUAAAGGAAAAAGAUACUCUAGGGAUAACAGCGUAAUUAUUAUGGAUAGUUCAUAUUGAUAUAAUAGUUUGCGACCUCGAUGUUGAAUUAAUGGACCUAGUAUUUGAAGUUGAAUCUAAGGUAGAUUGUUCAUCUAUUUAAUCAUUACUUGAUCUGGUCCAGACCGGAUU
This 382-nucleotide ribosomal RNA is filed under the name Spinturnix sp. AA-2017. RNAcentral's name for it is "partial 16S ribosomal RNA". The stretch from base 93 to 382 matches the Rfam family "Bacterial large subunit ribosomal RNA", at positions 2046 to 2622 of the family's 2925-position model. Lineage: Eukaryota; Metazoa; Arthropoda; Arachnida; Mesostigmata; Spinturnicidae. The record is from RNAcentral.